UACGGAGGGGGCUAGCGUUGUUCGGAUAUACUGGGCGUAAAGCGCGCGUAGGCGGCGCCGCAAGUCAGGGGUGAAAUCCCAGAGCUCAACUCUGGAACUGCCCUUGAAACUGCAGUGCUAGAAUCUUGGAGAGGCGAGUGGAAUUCCGAGUGUAGAGGUGAAAUUCGUAGAUAUUCGGAAGAACACCAGUGGCGAAGGCGACUCGCUGGACAAGUAUUGACGCUGAGGUGCGAAAGCGUGGGGAUCAAACAGG
This 253-nucleotide ribosomal RNA is filed under the name uncultured bacterium. RNAcentral's name for it is "partial 16S ribosomal RNA". It matches the Rfam family "Bacterial small subunit ribosomal RNA", at positions 524 to 776 of the family's 1533-position model. The record is from RNAcentral.